Molecule: long non-coding RNA, 2612 nt
Filed under: Medicago truncatula (barrel medic)
Lineage: Eukaryota; Viridiplantae; Streptophyta; Magnoliopsida; Fabales; Fabaceae
Description: lncRNA gene43938
Source: RNAcentral
CAAGAAAGUCUAAAGAAAGGCAAGCCUAAAAGAUAAGAAACAAGCAAUGAAUGAGAAGCAACUAUUACAGUGAAGCCAACAUUGCUACUGAAACAAUAAUUCUAAAAAUAAAAAGGACAACCAAAUUUCCAGCUUCCUAAAUCUUCCAAAAGCUUCAUUGAAUGUCUUUUUUUGCACCUUUUUUCGACCGGGUUUGAAUUUCUUCAUUACUAUUAACUCUUGUCAUUUGCAAUUUCUCUUUCUUUUUUUGUCUUUUAGAGGUAUAUGGAGUGUAUUCCUCAUCCUUUUCUGUGAUGACAACAACAUAUCUAUCACUUCCAACCUCGCUCUCUUGAUCAUCAGAUGAUAAGUCCCCCCAAAACUUCUUAAGCACUCUAACACUUUCCAUUGCUUUCUUAGAAGGAGCAUUGGCCAUAGCAGUAUGAGCAGCAAAAGGCCUCUUGUCCAAGGUCAAAGCUGAAUAGCUAGUGAUAGGCAUGGCCAUAGCAGUACAAGUAACCAAGGAGUCACACAUAUCAUUGUGAGAAGACAAACUUUUCUCUCUAGCUUCCCAACCCUUAUCUCUUUGAGUGACCUCAAAUUUGUUAUGAUCCAAAGCCUCAAUCUGAGUUGCAUUAUUAGAACCUUCAAUAGGGAUUCCUUCGAGAGUAAGUUCCUCUUGCUUUGAGUCUUCAAUAGGCUUUCCUGGACCAUUCACCUUUGCAGCCUGAUCACAGAUAACUUUAUCAAGCAACACAGUAGAAGAGGGGUAAACAACGGUGCUGAAGAGUUUGUUGUUGGCUUGCAAAAUGUUUGUAUCAGCUUGUUUUGUUAUAUUGCAGACAAGCUGCUCUUUGUUUUGAGGAACAUGCAUAGGGACCGGAGAUAAAACAGGCAUUGCAGCCCACCUAGAUACAUCAGCAAGACCCAAAGCUUGAUGGACAGAGGCAGAAGUAAUCACUGUAGCUGCAGGCCUUGAUCCACUAGGGAUGGGUACCUCAGAAUCAGUGUCACUCACUGGACAAACAUCUAUAGGAAAAGCCAAAUCAAUCGUCUGUUUAGCAGCCAACUUCCCUGCAGAGGGUGAUUCGGUAUUCAGGUCUAUCUGUAAAGCCUCCCCAUACACAUUAUCAGUCUCAGGAACAAGCAUAUCAAAUGCAUUAUGCAAGGUUAGACGAGCUUCAUCCUCUAUGGCCAAAACAUCAAAAUCAGUAACCUUUUCAGGAUCAUUCAGGGAUUGGACUUGCUUCUUACCAAGAAUCAGAUCGGUAUUAACCACACCCAUAGCAAUACUAUGAGAGGUUGAGGCUUGAUUCUUGGUCGUAUGCUUGUUGUAUAUUUAAAUUGAAGGGACUCUAUCAUUGUUGUGACUUUCUGUGAUACCAACAAAACAGAAGCAUCCUUGCUUUUCUGAACUUCUUGCUUAGUGAAGUUCUUAGGUUGGUAUCCCGAAUAAACUUGGGGUUGAGUAGAAUUCAGUCGGUGACAUUGUUGAAUAUAGUGACCCAAAAGCUUGCAAUGCUGAUAGAAUGCAAGUUUCCUUUUGUACUCCAUUAUAACCGGAAAAGCAUAACCCUCACAUUCAACCACAACAGUUUCAAACAACGUAUCUGACAUAUCCACAUCUACCAAAAUCCGGGCAUAAUGACCAAACAGUCGAGACUGCGUUGCUUUAUUAAUUGAGAUAGGAGUACCAAAUCCAGAAGCAAUAUCAAAAAGAGUAGUUUGCCUCCAAUAUUCUUGGGGGAGAUGCAUAAGCCUAAUCCACAAUUGAGCAUGUGACUGAGUUUGAGUUAGAGGGUCGAAGUCCUUGGACCAAUAGAAAUUUUUUAAGAUUCCAGACUUAAGAUUGACAGAGUUCAUCGCCCAUACCUUUUUCAUAUCCUCCAUAGAUUGGAAUUUGAAUUCAAAGAACCCUCUGCCUAGAGGAGUCACAAACCAAUUCCUUAGUUGUGGCCAUAUUCCAACCAGUUUUUGUUUCAAGCCUCUUGUAGUGAGCGAAGGAUCCCCUUUUUGAAGCGUAACUCGACCGUGAAGAUGAAGUUGGCAAUCUACAAUCUCAGCUUCAUAAACCUUCUGUGAGAUCUUGAUGUAAACCUUGUCCCCCAUGCGAAUUCUAGGAGGGAGACGGUUUGGCUGAGCUUCAUCAGAGGCUGUGACGGCCUGGGCGAAGGAUUUCCCCAAGUUUUCCGGUAGCGCCGUCACCAGAGAAGAGAGGAACGACCAGGUACAGAUCGGAGUAGACAUGACACUACAGCUCCAGUAAGAGCCAAAAAAACCAGAGAAGUUGAAGGAGAUCCAGAAACCCUCCUGGAGCUAAGAGCUUCAACGGUGAAUCGGGAAUAAACAAACUGGAAAAGCAAUAGUAACACAGAAAAAGGGUAGAUCGACUGAAAUAGGUAGGAAAACCAAGAAAAGCGAGGGGAUAAACCCCCGUCGGAACCUCACCGGAGCAGAUGUACGUCAUCAGAGGUUGGGUGUUGAGGAGGGAGAAUACGGUUAUUUUAAAUGCAUUUUUAUUAUAAAAAUAAAAUGUGGGAAUUCGCAACAAAUUAAGUUAAGAUUAGUGUAUUUUUUACUUUGGAUUUGACAAAACUUCGUAAUUGCAUAUUUAUUCAAAGGAAACUGCUAGA